Molecule: ribosomal RNA, 330 nt
Filed under: uncultured bacterium
Lineage: Bacteria
Description: bacterial SSU rRNA
Rfam family: Bacterial small subunit ribosomal RNA
Source: RNAcentral
CGCGUAGGCGGUGGUAUAAGUCUGAGGUGGAAUCCUACAGCUUAACUAUAGGACUGCCUUGGAAACUGUAUUACUUGAGUCGGACAGGGGAAGGCGGAAUUCCUGGUGUAGCGGUGAAAUGCGUAGAUAUCAGGAGGAAGGCCUGUGGUGAAGACGGCCUUCUGGGUCUUGACUGACGCUGAGGCGCGAAAGCGUGGGUAGCAAACAGGAUUAGAUACCCUGGUAGUCCACGCCCUAAACGGUGGGCACUAGGUGUGGGAUCUGUAAGGGCUCCGUGCCGAAGGGAAACCAUUAAGUGCCCCGCCUGGGAAGUACGGCCGCAGGGUUGAA